Long non-coding RNA from Aquila chrysaetos chrysaetos, 2529 nucleotides. RefSeq lists it as uncharacterized. The record is from RefSeq and is a predicted model, not a curated record. NCBI's taxonomy places the organism in Eukaryota, Metazoa, Chordata, Aves, Accipitriformes, Accipitridae. The transcript has 12 exons.
CAGAUCCUUGUUGUAGGUGCUUGGAAGUCCUUUGAGAACCAUGAGAAUAGCAGCCAACUGCAGAGAGAAACAGCAGGCUCACCCGUCCAAACACUCGUCCAGCUUUGCUGCGGAUCAGUUCCAGACUGUCGGGGUUCUUCUUCUGAGGCAUCAUGCUGCUGCCAGUGCUGAAGGAAAGGAGACUCUGCUGCUGCCCUGAUCGGUGUCUGUCAAAGAGCAAGCCAAGAAGUCUCCAGCCCCAGCAAGGCCAAGGCCAUGGAUAUGGAAAAGGACUUACAUGGCAGCACGUUCCACCAGGGUCUUAAUGAGCUGCAGGAGUGUGCAGCUUUCCAGCUAUGUCUCCAAUCAGCUCCUGAGGACAAAAGGAGGAUUUCUAUCAGCAUCUCUGUAUUCUAUGAAGGCGACUCCACAUGAGCAGACCUCCUCCCUGCCUGGAAGGGACUCAGCGCUAGGAUCCUAAUCAGAGGUGAGGUGUCAGAACUAUUGCAAAGACGUUUGCUGUCCCCUUCUCCAUUUAAAACCCGGGAAAACACAUCAAGUAGAGAAGCACCCGAACGAGCACGGCAGGUUGCAGUGCUGGGGUUAUCACGCAGUUGAGCUCGCGUCUGCCAGACCACCCUGAGACCACCCCCGCCGGAGAAGCAAAGUUCACCCUCACCUCGGCUGCCAUUUCGGACGACGUUUUGCUCGUUUGUGCAGCGAUCUUGGCAACUGGUGCAACCUGCGGAACAGCGAGGUGAGAUCCUUGUUGUAGGUGCUUGGAAGUCCUUUGAGAACCAUGAGAAUAGCAGCCAACUGCAGAGAGAAACAGCAGGCUCACCCGUCCAAACACUCGUCCAGCUUUGCUGCGGAUCAGUUCCAGACUGUCGGGGUUCUUCUUCUGAGGCAUCAUGCUGCUGCCAGUGCUGAAGGAAAGGAGACUCUGCUGCUGCCCUGAUCGGUGUCUGUCAAAGAGCAAGCCAAGAAGUCUCCAGCCCCAGCAAGGCCAAGGCCAUGGAUAUGGAAAAGGACUUACAUGGCAGCACGUUCCACCAGGGUCUUAAUGAGCUGCAGGAGUGUGCAGCUUUCCAGCUAUGUCUCCAAUCAGCUCCUGAGGACAAAAGGAGGAUUUCUAUCAGCAUCUCUGUAUUCUAUGAAGGCGACUCCACAUGAGCAGACCUCCUCCCUGCCUGGAAGGGACUCAGCGCUAGGAUCCUAAUCAGAGGUGAGGUGUCAGAACUAUUGCAAAGACGUUUGCUGUCCCCUUCUCCAUUUAAAACCCGGGAAAACACAUCAAGUAGAGAAGCACCCGAACGAGCACGGCAGGUUGCAGUGCUGGGGUUAUCACGCAGUUGAGCUCGCGUCUGCCAGACCACCCUGAGACCACCCCCGCCGGAGAAGCAAAGUUCACCCUCACCUCGGCUGCCAUUUCGGACGACGUUUUGCUCGUUUGUGCAGCGAUCUUGGCAACUGGUGCAACCUGCGGAACAGCGAGGUGAGCCUGGCUGGGAGCUGGCAUACAGGCAGUUUCACGUGCAGAGUUUGAAACAUGGCAGAGAAGUUACAGAGCAUUUGUUGUGCCGGUUUUGGCCAAUUUACAAGGACUCCAUGACAAAUGAUUCUGGAGUAUAAAUUAAUUUCUAUCUGUACUACAAUCUGUGUGUGAUGGGGUCCACAUGUCCACUGAAACUUUUUUAUGAGUCUUCAACUGAAAAGGGCAGAAAAAGCUUUGCAGUAGGCUUUUAAACUUUGUCCAGCACUUCGGUGUCUGAUGAUGAUGGUUCCUGGAGAGCUGGGAGGUGGUUGUUGGCCACUGUCCUGGCACUGAAGACUGUUCCUGAAGCGCUGCAGUUUCUCAUGUUAUUCAGAACUGGCUUAGGAUUUGCAACACCCCAAGGAGCAUCAAAGUCCCAGAAGUGGGAAUGGACUUUAUUCUGGCUUGAUUCUGGGGAGAAAAGUGGCUGGUGGAUUUUGUGCUAGUAUUGCAAGACGGAGGUUGUGAGCACAAGUCUAAUCCAUUCGGUUCCUUAGUUUGCUCUUACAGCCCUGCUGCAAACAAGCAAGUGUGUGUGUAUAUGACUCCUUAGGGAGUUAGUGGUGUUGUGUUUGCAUAUAAACUUUUGCCUGAGAGAUAAUGGCAAAAUUAAGUAAUUAAUGUUUCCCUGGCUCUCAGUCUCUGAGCCAGACAGUUUUCCUUUCUGUAGCCAAUAGAACUUUCAGCUAUUUGCACUCAAUGAAGUGUGUUCAGUUUUCUCAAGAAUGAAAAGGGCUCUUGCAAAAUUUAAUAGCACAUAUAUUAAAUGAGAAAGAAGCACAGUGGUGGCAGGAAAAGACAUACGAUGCUGAUGAGCCUGGUAAAAUGUCUGUAGAGGUGCUUAAAAGAGAAUAGCAGUAUUACACUAGUUCAGCCUUACAGUAUUCUGUUUGCACAUGGCUAGAGAUUUUAUUUGGAAGGACCUCUACAAUACUGUUUCCCCCUUGUCAUCAUGCUUAACAGUGGCUAGCUGUCGGAACCUGAGUAGGUUUUUUCAGAACAUGUUUUGUCACAGA